UACAGAGGGUGCGAGCGUUAAUCGGAAUUACUGGGCGUAAAGCGUGUGUAGACGGUUAUCUAAGUCGGAUGUGAAAGCCCCGGGCUCAACCUGGGAAUUGCAUUCGAGACUGAAUAGCUAGGGUACGGUAGAGGGAAGUGGAAUUUCCGGUGUAGCGGUGAAAUGCGUAGAUAUCGGAAGGAACAUCAGUGGCGAAAGCGACUUCCUGGACCAGUACCGACGUUCAGGCACGAAAGCGUGGGGAGCAAACAGG
This 253-nucleotide ribosomal RNA is filed under the name uncultured bacterium. RNAcentral describes it as "partial 16S ribosomal RNA". It matches the Rfam family "Bacterial small subunit ribosomal RNA", at positions 524 to 776 of the family's 1533-position model. The record is from RNAcentral.